UUUGUGGUGAAAAAAAAUUAAAAGGAAAAUAAAAGAAAAAGUUAAUUAAAAGUGGUAGGACCCACAUGCACCUUUAGUCAUCAAAAUGACCAAAUGUCACUUUACAGACUUCAUUUUCCUCUCUUUCUUUUCCUCACGUCAGUUUGCUCUUGCUCUCUCUUUCUCUCUCAUUCUUCUCCCAAUUUUCUUUUUCUUUUCUAUACAAACUUUAACUCUUGAUUAAUCUCUCAUUUCUUAGAGUUUUUGGGAGCUGUUUGCGGCAAAACGGAGAACACGGCGAGAUCUACGUGACACGGAAGGGAAGUGGCGGACGACACUUCUCCACAGGGUUUGAUGGGUAGAAUCCAUGGUCAUGGUACCUCGAGAGGACCUUUUUUUCAGCUCCCAGGAAGUUUUGGUCGAUUGGUGAUAUAAGUCAGCAGAUCGACAUACUAUUUUUGGCUUGGACAAAGAGUGCACCAGCUAAGAGGCAUGUUUCAGCCCACUGAAAGUGCAGUUUCAGCUGGCUGAUCCUCCCUAAAGCCUUCCAUUUUCAGUUUUUAAGGACAACUUUGAUUUGUCGACUUCUGACAGCCAUAUCUCAUUUAUUUCUAAUCUAAAUUAGGUCAUUCUUAAGUCCAUUUUGAACGUCUUGAAGUUAGCUUUUCAUUGAUACCAACCUCAUUUAAAAACUCCUACUACAAUGAGAGUUAUGUUUGUUUCUA
Long non-coding RNA from Cornus florida, 704 nucleotides. RefSeq lists it as uncharacterized. The record is from RefSeq and is a predicted model, not a curated record. The transcript is spliced from 3 exons. NCBI's taxonomy places the organism in Eukaryota, Viridiplantae, Streptophyta, Magnoliopsida, Cornales, Cornaceae.